GAUGAACGCUGGCGGCGUGCCUAGUACAUGCAAGUCGAGCGAACGGACGAGAAGCUUGCUUCUCUGAUGUUAGCGGCGGACGGGUGAGUAACACGUGGAUAACCUACCUAUAAGACUGGGAUAACUUCGGGAAACCGGAGCUAAUACCGGAUAAUAUUUUGAACCGCAUGGUUCAAAAGUGAAAGACGGUCUUGCUGUCACUUAUAGAUGGAUCCGCGCUGCAUUAGCUAGUUGGUAAGGUAACGGCUUACCAAGGCAACGAUGCAUAGCCGACCUGAGAGGGUGAGCGGCCACACUGGAACUGAGACACGGUCCAGACUCCUACGGGAGGCAGCAGUAGGGAAUCUUCCGCAAUGGGCGGAAGCCUGACGGAGCAACGCCGCGUGAGUGAUGAAGGUCUUCGGAUCGUAAAACUCUGUUAUUAGGGAAGAACAUAUGUGUAAGUAACUGUGCACAUCUUGACGGUACCUAAUCAGAAAGCCACGGCUAACUACGUG
This 497-nucleotide ribosomal RNA is filed under the name uncultured bacterium. RNAcentral's name for it is "partial 16S ribosomal RNA". It matches the Rfam family "Bacterial small subunit ribosomal RNA", at positions 28 to 507 of the family's 1533-position model. The record is from RNAcentral.